RNAcentral lists this ribosomal RNA (501 nucleotides) under uncultured organism. RNAcentral describes it as "bacterial SSU rRNA". It matches the Rfam family "Bacterial small subunit ribosomal RNA", at positions 1 to 489 of the family's 1533-position model. The record is from RNAcentral.
UUGGAUCCAGACUUGAUUAUGGCUCAGGAUGAACGCUAGCUACAGGCUUAACACAUGCAAGUCGAGGGGAAACGAUAGAGAAAGCUUGCUUUUUCUAGGCGUCGACCGGCGCACGGGUGAGUAACGCGUAUCCAACCUGCCCAUCACUUGGGGAUAACCUUGCGAAAGUAAGACUAAUAUCCAAUGAUAUCUCUAGAAGACAUCUGAAGGAGAUUAAAGAUUUAUCGGUGAUGGAUGGGGAUGCGUCUGAUUAGCUUGUUGGCGGGGUAACGGCCCACCAAGGCGACGAUCAGUAGGGGUUCUGAGAGGAAGGUCCCCCACAUUGGAACUGAGACACGGUCCAAACUCCUACGGGAGGCAGCAGUGAGGAAUAUUGGUCAAUGGACGAGAGUCUGAACCAGCCAAGUAGCGUGCAGGAUGACGGCCCUAUGGGUUGUAAACUGCUUUUAUAAGGGAAUAAAGUGAGUCUCGUGAGACUUUUUGCAUGUACCUUAUGAAUAA